GGGAAAUCCCCGUGGGCGCCGAAGAUUCAGGCAUCUAGAGUUUGACGAAGAUGAUGAUGAUAAUGAGCAUGAGGAUGGGGAGGGGAAUCGUGUGAGUAGUGAGCCGACUGAGCUUGAUUCAGUCAUUAGGAGGAGGAGAAGUUCAGCUACCAUUCUUCAGUUGCUCCAAGGUAUCAGAGCUGGAAUGGCAACUGCUGAAUCAGAGAAUAGUUACGAGGGAGAGAGGAGCAGAGAAAGAGAGCGGGUUAUUCUUAUAAAUCCUUUCAAUCAGACCAUUGUAGUUCAAGGAGGUGAGAAUCAAAAUCAAAACCCCAUUGGGUCGCUGGGUGAUUAUUUCGUAGGACCUGGUUUGGAUUUGUUAUUGCAACAUCUAGCCGAAAAUGAUCCCAACAGAUAUGGGACUCCACCUGCACAGAAGGAGGCCGUUGAUGCGCUGCCCACCGUGAGGGUUGAAAUUCAGGAUAGCCGUUUGCAAUGUUCAGUGUGUUUGGAUGAGUUUGAGGUGGAUGAAGAAGCCAAGGAGAUGCCAUGUAAGCAUAAAUUUCAUACAGGUUGUAUUCUGCCAUGGCUGGAGCUGCAUAGUUCUUGCCCAGUUUGUAGGCAUCAAUUGCCUGGGGAUGAAUCCAAGCGUGAUCCGGAUGGUGGGUCUGCUAGGUUCAUGGGCGACCUUAGUAAUAAUGCUAAUGCUGGUAGUGACAGCGGGGAGAUUGAUGGGAGAAAUGCAUCUGGGACUGGGAGAAGGUUUUCUUUUCCGUGGCCCUUCAAUGGCUUGUUUUCUUCGCAAGGAAACUCCUCGGGUGGAAGUGCAUCUGAUUCUCAUUCUCAAAGGGACCACACUUCCAUUUGAAUAUAUGUGUUUGAUAUCCUGCUUCUCCUCUGCUUGCUUGCUUAUUGUAUGUAUUUGUAUGUAUGUUUGUUAUACUUAUAUUAUACUAUACACAGAUGUUUUGCACAAUCUCUCUUGC
This 965-nucleotide unclassified non-coding RNA is filed under the name Hevea brasiliensis (rubber tree). The record is from RNAcentral. Lineage: Eukaryota; Viridiplantae; Streptophyta; Magnoliopsida; Malpighiales; Euphorbiaceae.